This 61-nucleotide transfer RNA is filed under the name Lepilemur ahmansoni. RNAcentral describes it as "Lepilemur ahmansonorum tRNA-Tyr". It matches the Rfam family "tRNA". From Rfam's summary of the family: Transfer RNA (tRNA) molecules are approximately 80 nucleotides in length. Their secondary structure includes four short double-helical elements and three loops (D, anti-codon, and T loops). The record is from RNAcentral. Lineage: Eukaryota; Metazoa; Chordata; Mammalia; Primates; Lepilemuridae.
AGAAUGGCUGAGUAAGCAUUAGACUGUAAAUCUAAAGACAGAGGAAAUCCUCUUUUUACCA